UCUAAUAUGGCAGAUUAGUGCAAUGAAUUUAAGAUUCAUAUAUAAAAGAACUUUUGUUAGAA
Molecule: transfer RNA, 62 nt
Filed under: Cicadatra karachiensis
Lineage: Eukaryota; Metazoa; Arthropoda; Insecta; Hemiptera; Cicadidae
Description: tRNA-Leu
Source: RNAcentral